Molecule: ribosomal RNA, 445 nt
Filed under: Pseudomonas aeruginosa
Lineage: Bacteria; Pseudomonadati; Pseudomonadota; Gammaproteobacteria; Pseudomonadales; Pseudomonadaceae
Description: bacterial SSU rRNA
Rfam family: Bacterial small subunit ribosomal RNA
Source: RNAcentral
GCUACACAUGCAGUCGAGCGGAUGAAGGGAGCUUGCUCCUGGAUUCAGCGGCGGACGGGUGAGUAAUGCCUAGGAAUCUGCCUGGUAGUGGGGGAUAACGUCCGGAAACGGGCGCUAAUACCGCAUACGUCCUGAGGGAGAAAGUGGGGGAUCUUCGGACCUCACGCUAUCAGAUGAGCCUAGGUCGGAUUAGCUAGUUGGUGGGGUAAAGGCCUACCAAGGCGACGAUCCGUAACUGGUCUGAGAGGAUGAUCAGUCACACUGGAACUGAGACACGGUCCAGACUCCUACGGGAGGCAGCAGUGGGGAAUAUUGGACAAUGGGCGAAAGCCUGAUCCAGCCAUGCCGCGUGUGUGAAGAAGGUCUUCGGAUUGUAAAGCACUUUAAGUUGGGAGGAAGGGCAGUAAGUUAAUACCUUGCUGUUUUGACGUUACCAAGAAAAAUA